GGGUUGUGAGGUUAAGCGACUAAGCGUACACGGUGGAUGCCCUGGCAGUCAGAGGCGAUGAAGGGCGUGCUAAUCUGCGAUAAGCGCCGGUAAGGUGAUAUGAACCGUUAUAACCGGCGAUACCCGAAUGGGGAAACCCAGUGUGAUUCGUCACACUAUCAUUAACUGAAUCCAUAGGUUAAUGAGGCGAACCGGGGGAACUGAAACAUCUAAGUACCCCGAGGAAAAGAAAUCAACCGAGAUUCCCCCAGUAGCGGCGAGCGAACGGGGAGGAGCCCAGAGCCUGAAUCAGCAUGUGUGUUAGUGGAAGCGUCUGGAAAGGCGCGCGAUACAGGGUGACAGCCCCGUACACAAAAGCGCAUGUGCUGUGAGCUCGAUGAGUAGGGCGGGACACGUGGUAUCCUGUCUGAAUAUGGGGGGACCAUCCUCCAAGGCUAAAUACUCCUGACUGACCGAUAGUGAACCAGUACCGUGAGGGAAAGGCGAAAAGAACCCCGGCGAGGGGAGUGAAAAAGAACCUGAAACCGUGUACGUACAAGCAGUGGGAGCCCCACCACUAAGCCAGUGGUGAACUCCACAUACGCAUCCUUUGCUGAGGAUACGGUUAACGGAGCGAAAGCGACGUUCAACCGCAAAAGAAGCAGAGGGGGCUUAGUGGUGGGGUGACUGCGUACCUUUUGUAUAAUGGGUCAGCGACUUAUAUUCUGUAGCAAGGUUAACCGUAUAGGGGAGCCGCAGGGAAACCGAGUCUUAAUUGGGCGUUAAGUUGCAGGGUAUAGACCCGAAACCCGGUGAUCUAGCCAUGGGCAGGUUGAAGGUUGGGUAACACUAACUGGAGGACCGAACCGACUAAUGUUGAAAAAUUAGCGGAUGACCUGUGGCUGGGGGUGAAAGGCCAAUCAAACCGGGAGAUAGCUGGUUCUCCCCGAAAGCUAUUUAG
RNAcentral lists this ribosomal RNA (940 nucleotides) under Salmonella enterica subsp. enterica serovar Durham. RNAcentral describes it as "partial 23S ribosomal RNA". It matches the Rfam family "Bacterial large subunit ribosomal RNA", at positions 1 to 873 of the family's 2925-position model. The record is from RNAcentral. Lineage: Bacteria; Pseudomonadati; Pseudomonadota; Gammaproteobacteria; Enterobacterales; Enterobacteriaceae.